Scylla paramamosain (green mud crab) is the source of this 5527-nucleotide RNA transcript. It is a transcript of the gene named muscle LIM protein Mlp84B-like, with no coding region annotated. The transcript is spliced from 19 exons. The record is from RefSeq and is a predicted model, not a curated record. Lineage: Eukaryota; Metazoa; Arthropoda; Malacostraca; Decapoda; Portunidae.
UAGCCGCGGCGGGCGAUCGCAGGCGUUGGCGGUGCGGGGCGGGGCGGCGCACGCCUGGCUCGGCCCUACGGGGGGCGGGGCAGGGCAGGCCUGGCUCUGCCCUGCGGGGGGCGGGGCGUGGGUCGUCGCCCACUGCUCGCCCCGUUCUCGAGGUGGCUUGCACACGACACUCUCGCCGAGGGCAUGGUGCCGUGUGCACGGUGGUAUUUCGAGCGUUGGCGGGCGGCGGCGUCACCCAAGAAAAUGUGGAGCGGCGCUCACUUGGUCCUCAAUCGUAAUAAGGCGAGGAGUCGAGAGGCAGUGUCCAUCCGAGGACGAGAGAGCAGCUCCCGGCCCGUGUAGCCCGUGUGAAGGACAGUCGCCACAGCCAUGCCAUUCAAGGCUCCUCCCACUCCCAAGUGCCCAAAAUGCGGCAAGUCCGUGUACCACGCCGAGGCCCGAGUGGUGGGCGAUAUCUCCUUCCACAAGGAAUGCUACAAGUGCAGCAUGUGCAAUAAGAUGCUGGACUCCACCAAUUGCAACCUGCACGAGAAUGUGCUCUACUGCAAGACCUGCCACGGCCGCAAGUUUGGCCCCAAGGGCUACGGCUUCGGCGGUGGCGCUGCCGGGCUCAGCAUGGACACCGGCUCUCAAUUCGAACAAUACGGGCGGGACGACUAUGUUAAGCCUUACAAGCCCCCACAAGCCAAACCCGGGGAAGGCUGUCCUCGCUGCGGGGGAAAGGUGUUCGCCGCUGAGGAGAUGCUGGCCAAGGGCAAGAUCUACCAUCGCUCCUGCUUCAACUGCAAGAGCUGCCGCAAGCCCCUGGACUCCGUGGUGCACUGCGACGGCCCCGACAAGGAGGUGUACUGCAAAGUCUGCUACGGCAAGGCAUUCGGUCCCAAGGGUUACGGGUUCGGUUCAGGCGCCGGCACCCUCACCUGCGGUUAUGAAGACUCUGCGCCCCUGGUCAGGCCUCACGGCAACCCCGAUGCCGUGCUGCCCGUGCUGGAGGGGGAGACGCCCUGCCCUCGCUGCGGCGGCCGCGUCUUCAGCGCCGAGAUGAUGAUGGCCAAGGACAGGCCUUUCCACAAGAAGUGCUUCAAGUGCAGGGUGUGCAAGAGGCCCCUCGACUCCAUGACCCACUGCGACGGCGCUGACGGCGAGGUGUACUGCAAGCUGUGCUACGCCAAGAAGUACGGACCCAAGGGCUACGGCUUCGCUGCGGGCGGCGGCGGCGUCCUCACGGCCGAGAACAUUCCGGGCGGCGAGACCAUGUCUGGCGUCAACCCGGGCUCUGCCGUGCUGGACGUGAGCAAGAUCAGGGCUGAGGAGGGCCAGGGCUGCCCUCGCUGCGGAGGCAAGGUGUUCAUGGCUGAGGAGAUCAACGCCAAGGGCAGGUCCUUCCACAAGCGAUGCUACAACUGCUGCCACUGCCACCGCCCCCUGGACUCCAUGGUGGGCUGCGAUUCCCCCGACGGCGAGGUGUACUGCAAGCUGUGCUACGCCAAGAAGUACGGACCCAAGGGCUACGGCUUCGCCGCUGGCGGUGGCGGCGUGCUGACUGCCGAGAACAUCGUGGGCGGCGCGCAGGUGGUGAGCCAGGGCGACAGGGCCCGGCUGGAUGUGAAGAAGAUCAAGGCCGCGGAGGGCACCGGGUGUCCUCGCUGCGGCGGCAAGGUGUUCAUGGCUGAGGAGAUGCACGCCCGUGGCCGCAGCUGGCACAAGAGCUGCUACAACUGCUGCCACUGCCACAGGCCCCUCGACUCUAUGGUGGGCUGUGACGCCCCCGACGACGAGAUCUACUGCAAGCUGUGCUACGCCAAGAAGUACGGACCCAAGGGCUACGGCUUCGCUGCUGGAAGCGGCGGCGUGCUCACCGCUGAGAACAUCCCCGGCGGCGAGGCGCUCAAGGGCAUCAACCCAUCCUCUGGUGCCAUCGACACCACGUCCAUCCCCGCCGCCCCUGGCCAGGGCUGCCCUCGUUGCGGCGGCAAGGUCUUCUCCGCCGAAGAGAUGCUUUCCAGGAACAAGAGGUGGCACAAGCGGUGCUACAGCUGCCGCGAGUGUUUCCGUCCCCUCGACUCCAUGGUGCUGUGUGACGGCCCUGACGGCGACAUUUACUGCAAACUGUGCUAUGCCAAGAAGUACGGACCCAAGGGCUACGGCUUCGCCUCUGGCGCUGGUGGCGUGCUGACCGCCGAGAACAUCGCGUGUGACGAGGGGAUGGAGUCGAACGUGAAGAACGCGGCCUUCACAGUGCUGGACGUGACCAAGAUCCGCGCCAAGGAGGGCCAGCCACGCUGCCCCCGCUGCUCCGGCGCCGUGUUCCAGGCUGAGUCCAUGCCCUGCAGAGGCCGCGAGUGGCACAAGGCCUGCUACAACUGCUGCGAGUGCCACCGCCCCCUGGACUCCAUGACCUCCUGCGACGCUCCUGACGGCGAGAUCUACUGCAAGCUGUGCUACGCCAAGAGGCACGGACCCAAGGGCUACGGCUACGGCCACUGCCCCGCCCUCGUCUCCAUCGGCACUGAAGACGGCAGCCCCAUGCCCACGGACAUCAGGCAGUUCGGCUUCAACCCCAGGGACCCCAACGCCGCGGGAGCCCCCAAGCCCGCACAGCCCAACCCAACGCGCCGUGGAGGGCAGGUGGCGGCAUCCCAGCGCCCAUGGCCGGCGGCAAGCCCAACCAGGUAGAGCCUCUCAUUAAUCUGCCGCAGCCUGUGCCCAUCGGCUCGGAAAUUCCCACGCCCAGAGGCUUUGAUUCGUCUGCAGGCCACUGGGGGCUGGGCCAAGUGCAGGCUGGGACCGUGAGCCAGCAGGUGACAGGUCACGCCACCGCCGAGCUCAGCAGCAGGCAGGUGGUGGCUCAGCAGACUCAGCAGGUGAGUGGUGAGGUGCAGCACGUGGCGGUGGCAGCCAGCAGCACCUCCCAGCACACCGAGCAGCACUUCAGCAGCAGUAGCAGCAGCAGCGUGCAGCAGAUUCAGAGCAUGGAGAUGACUCAAGUGCAGCAGCAGCAGGUGACUCAAGUUAUGCACAGCAGCAGCAGCAGCAGCAGGAGCGAGGUGGUGGUGGUGGAGGGGCAGGAGCACAGGGAGUAAAGUACGAACUAGCCCAAGCAGCCACCACAGGAAGACCCCGCCCCGCCCCGCCCCCCCCGCCCCUGACAUGUCCUCUCUGAUCCCUGCGGACAUGAAAGCCUUGCAGGAUGAUCUGUCCGCCAGGGAGCUGGCCAGCAUGUCCCAGGAACAGCUGGCCAGCAUGUCCAAAGAACAGCUGGCUAGGAUGUCCAAGGCACAGCUGGCCAGCAUGUCCCAGGCACAGCUGGCCACUAUGUCCCAAGCACAGCUGGCCAGCAUGUCCCAGGAACAGCUUGUGCGUGUGUCCCACCAACAAAUGGCCAGCAUGUCCCACGAGCAGGUGGCCGAAGUGUCCCAUGAGCAGCCGGCCAUGACUCCCGCGUCCCUUCAGGAGAUGGGAGCCGUGUCCAUGCUGGCGCACAUGGUGGCCUCGCAGCCCGCCAUGUCCAGCCAGCAGCGGCAGCAGCAGCAGCAGCAGCAGCAAAGCAGUGUGUCCCUCACCACGCAGCAUGUUCGCGUGUCCUCAGAGUUCUCUACCUCUAUGUCCUCUCACAUGGUAACCCAGUCCUCUCCCUUGCCCCCCACUGCCCCCCUGCCUGAGUCGCUGGCCCCCCCUGCUGUUGGUGGCGACGGUGGCGCGGCGCCCCCUCAAUCUCAAACUGAGGGCCAACUUCCCCCGCAGAGGACGAAGAAGAAGAGGAAGAAGAGGAGGAGGAGGAGGAGGAGGAAGAGGAGGAGGAAGAGGAGGAGGAAGAUGAAGAGGAGGAGGAGGAGGAGGAAGAAGAGGAGUAAGGCCAGCAGCAGAUCAGAGCGUCGGGCAGGCGGGCUGGUGCCGCAGAGGUGGCUGGCGGCGCUCCAGGGUGACGCCAGCUGCCUGCUGCGAGCCUCAGCCUACCUGUCGCAGCGGCCCCGCCGCCGACCAGCCCUAGCAUUGGUUGUUAGCGUCCCGAGGUGCAGCCGGUCAUCCCCGCCUUGUUACGACCCGACCACCACCACACGGGAGCUCCGACUCGUUAUCAUAGCAAGUGAGUCUCACGCCUGUGUCCCUUGACAAGACCGUGCCGGAGACAGGAACACGUCGAACGAACGAACGACGCCGCGCCAGGGACCCCUAGUGGCCCACGCCGGGCCUCAACGUGUGCUGGUUCACUGCUGACCUGCGGCCCGCGAGGCCUGGGGCCUUCGGCCACGCCUGCGCCGCGCCUUUCAUCACACCUCGCUCAUCAACCGCCACGCCCGUGGUCGGCGCCGCCCGCGGCUCAGCGAGCGCCGCCGCCAUCACCGCGAGGAGGACAAACACGAUUAUAGCACAUGACGGCGGAGACGCUGACGCGGCCUUCACCGGCGACCCGACCACGGACGUCCGCUUGUAGAUGAUGUAGUCCGUGUACGUGUUGUGCUCGUGAAUGUAGAGUGUGUGUGUGUGUGUGUGUGUGUGUGUGUGUGUUCGCGCGUCCAGCGAGGUGACAUGGGGCGCGGCCCAGCUAACGAAAAUGGCGGGCAAUGUGAUCUUGGGUGUGGAUGAUGCUCGCGAUCGGAAACGUUUAGGUAUUUUGUUUACUGCCAAGUUUUUAUUACCUCGACACAUGCAGGUGAGUGAGUCAUAGUUUGAACCCCGCCGCCGGCUCGGAGCCUCACGGCCGCGCCGACGACACGUGUGAGAAAGGAGGACAAAAAAAAUGGUAGGUUCCUUGUAGCAGCAUUCGCCUGAUUUGUUCCUUACUGAGUGAUGAAUGAGUUGCGUGCAAUCCAUACGUGUGCGUGCCGCCCCGCGCAGGGAGCGGCGUAGACUAUUAUUAACAAGCAGGUCCAAACCAUUCUGUUUAUACGUGGCCCUUGAGUAGCGUUAAGGCGAAGGCUCUCCUGCUCCCAUCGACCAAGGGGACAAGCGGUUCGGGAGCAACAGAGCCUUCAGCUCGCCCCCGGGCGGCCUCCUCGUGCGCCUCGCCGCUCCACAGGCAAGGCGUGCGGGGAUGCGCCCCGCCCCUCACCCACGGCCCACCUCCUCCCCCGCAAGGCACGGCGCCGCCUACCCUGAAGGACCACCGCUGCCCUCCCUACCCCUCCCCCUGCCCCUGACAACCACUGGCAGGAGUCCGGGGCGAGGCUGGGACGGUGCAUCCCUCAGGCUGGCGUGGGCCAAGUGGGGAGGAGCGGCGGGGAGGGCAGGGAAGGAUGAGGGGUAAGUCAGUGGUAACAAGCCGUCUUCCCCUCCCCUCCCUGUCUUCCCCACCUGCCGGGGCCGGUGGGGAUGUCGGCGGCCCCGGGGCGCACCGUGGUUAUAAUCAUUCUUAUAUAUAGUGUUGUGGAGGUCAACUGGCUGCUACUUCGCUGUGAGAAUCCCGAGUAUUGUUAUGUAUUACGCGAGUGAGCCCAGCAGCCGACCACCCUAGUACUGCCACAGGCUUGGUAUCAUUAUAUCUCACUAUGUGCAUUUGUUCUCAUUAAAGAUUCAAUGUUCUGAC